UCACCCUCUGGUUGUUCAUUUUCCCUUGAAUGCUAUGUGUUUCUUGUCAUGAUAGUAGUUACUGCUUUAAAUUAUUUCUUCAGCAAGCAUCAACGGAACCCUCUCCAGUCAUAACGUUGAUAACCUUUUGAAGGCUAAGAAAGAGAUCAUUCCAUAUUUGUUGAUCUUGGCGCUGAAUGAUGCUAUGGCAUAUGCUAAGACCACAAAGUCAGGAGGUCCAAAUGGAUGGAUCAGGCUGGGGCAAUACCUCUUGGCGCUGAUCGGUAAGGCUGCAGCUGCCCCCUCAGCCAGCCUCUACAGUCCAUUGUAUUGUAUCUGUAUGCGUCAGGCUGCGGCAGCCGAUCGACCCCUUUGUUUCUACAUAUUUGUGUUACAAUUGCAAAUAUGCUCUUCAUAUUAAACUCUAACAAGUUGCCCCUUGUCUUCCUUUAAUCUUUACCGUUAAAUAAAAAAAAUGCAGAAAUAAGUAGACCUGAAAAUAGUAGACUUUCUCCUACGCUGGUUUUGUCUGGUCUUUGGAAGUGACAGAGAGCCAGCAGAGCGGUGGGAUGCAAGUGAGCUAUUCUUACUGAGGCUUUUAUGACUAAAAUAUUUUGAUUUCUGCUUCAAAAUGUUCCCAUAUGAGUGCACUAAUCAACUUUCGUACUGUGCUGAAUUUUUUUUAUCAAUCUACAUUAACAUCUCAAUAGGUAAACCAUCUGGUAAAUCAGCAAUAAGGGAAGGCUUGAGAUUUUCUAAAUGAAUUGCAUUUUUAUGUGUGCUAUUGAAGUGGAUAAAUAUAGCUGGAACAAAUGCAGCCAUGCAGGUCCUUUGGCCUUUGCUGUCCCAUCCUUCUUAUUGAUGUUUAUCUGCACAUGUUAAUAUUGUAAAAAAAUAGUGAUUGUUAAGGUGCAUCUUCAGAGAUAAAAUCUGUUCCUAUACUGGUGUGAA
Molecule: long non-coding RNA, 930 nt
Organism: Oryza brachyantha (malo sina)
Lineage: Eukaryota; Viridiplantae; Streptophyta; Magnoliopsida; Poales; Poaceae
Exons: 3
Source: RefSeq, a predicted model, not a curated record